This 465-nucleotide ribosomal RNA is filed under the name uncultured bacterium. RNAcentral's name for it is "partial 16S ribosomal RNA". It matches the Rfam family "Bacterial small subunit ribosomal RNA", at positions 28 to 507 of the family's 1533-position model. The record is from RNAcentral.
GACGAACGCUGGCGGCGUGCUUAACACAUGCAAGUCGAACGGAAAGGCCCUGCUUGCAGGGUACUCGAGUGGCGAACGGGUGAGUAACACGUGGGUGAUCUGCCCUGCACUUCGGGAUAAGCCUGGGAAACUGGGUCUAAUACCGGAUAGGAGCCAUUUUUAGUGUGAUGGUUGGAAAGUUUUUUCGGUGUAGGAUGAGCUCGCGGCCUAUCAGCUUGUUGGUGGGGUAAUGGCCUACCAAGGCGGCGACGGGUAGCCGGCCUGAGAGGGUGGACGGCCACAUUAGGACUGAGAUACGGCCCAGACUCCUACGGGAGGCAGCAGUGGGGAAUAUUGCACAAUGGGCGCAAGCCUGAUGCAGCGACGCCGCGGGGGGGAUGACGGCCUUCGGGUUGUAAACUCCUUUCGCUAGGGACGAAGCUUUUUGUGACGGUACCUAGAGAAGAAGCACCGGCUAACUACGUG